RNAcentral lists this ribosomal RNA (497 nucleotides) under uncultured bacterium. RNAcentral's name for it is "partial 16S ribosomal RNA". It matches the Rfam family "Bacterial small subunit ribosomal RNA", at positions 28 to 507 of the family's 1533-position model. The record is from RNAcentral.
GAUGAGCGCUGGCGGCGUGCCUAAUACAUGCAAGUCGAGUGAACGGACGAGAAGCUUGCUUCUCUGAUGUUAGCGGCGGACGGGUGAGUAACACGUGGAUAACCUACCUAUAAGACUGGGAUAACUUCGGGAAACCGGAGCUAAUACCGGAUGAUAUUUUGAACCGCAUGGUUCAAAAGUGAAAGACGGUCUUGCUGUCACUUAUAGAUGGAUCCGCGCUGCAUUAGCUAGUUGGUAAGGUAACGGCUUACCAAGGCAACGAUGCAUAGCCGACCUGAGAGGGUGAUCGGCCACACUGGAACUGAGACACGGUCCAGACUCCUACGGGAGGCAGCAGUAGGGAAUCUUCCGCAAUGGGCGAAAGCCUGACGGAGCAACGCCGCGUGAGUGAUGAAGGUCUUCGGAUCGUAAAACUCUGUUAUUAGGGAAGAACAUAUGUGUAAGUAACUGUGCACAUCUUGACGGUACCUAAUCAGAAAGCCACGGCUAACUACGUG